AAUAAACGCUGGCGGCGUGCCUAACACAUGCAAGUCGAACGGGAUCUUCGGGUCUAGUGGCGCACGGGUGCGUAACGCGUGGGAAUCUGCCCUUUGGUUCGGAAUAACAGUUGGAAACGACUGCUAAUACCGGAUGAUGACGAAAGUCCAAAGAUUUAUCGCCAGAGGAUGAGCCCGCGUAGGAUUAGCUAGUUGGUGUGGUAAAGGCGCACCAAGGCGACGAUCCUUAGCUGGUCUGAGAGGAUGAUCAGCCACACUGGGACUGAGACACGGCCCAGACUCCUACGGGAGGCAGCAGUGGGGAAUAUUGGACAAUGGGCGAAAGCCUGAUCCAGCAAUGCCGCGUGAGUGAUGAAGGCCUUAGGGUUGUAAAGCUCUUUUACCCGGGAUGAUAAUGACAGUACCGAGAGAAUAAGCUCCGGCUAACUCCGUGCCAGCCGCCGCCGUAA
This 449-nucleotide ribosomal RNA is filed under the name uncultured bacterium. Its description in RNAcentral is "partial 16S ribosomal RNA". It matches the Rfam family "Bacterial small subunit ribosomal RNA", at positions 29 to 523 of the family's 1533-position model. The record is from RNAcentral.